GUGUAUAGUAAAAAUUUGUUAAUAAAACUCAAUCAUCUUAAGAGUUAGUUGCUAGUUUCACUCGUCUCUCUCUCUCGUGAUUUCUCGGAAAUACAGAAAUAAAGCAUGUGUGUGUUGAUAACAUUGUAUUUUAAUUUGUUGCUUCUCGUGUGAUAAUAUGUGUGUGAGAUGAAAAUGUAAUCUGUUUUUAGGUCCCUCAACAUGCUAUCGAGGGUUGCUAGGUUCGUGUCCCGCUGCAAAAGUUUAACUGAGAAGAAAGAAGCGGGUCGUAUUGUUGGAAUUGCUGCUGGUAUGGGUGCAGUUGCACUCUACAUUCACUCACAGCCACCCCCACCUGUGAAGCAUGAUGUAGACUGUCAAUUCUAUUACAAAGAUGUGCUGCUGUCUGAGGAGGGCUUCACUCGUGAGGAUGAAUGGCUGAAGAAUUUCCAUUUCUUCGAUGAAAGUCUGUUGAAGAAUGAUUACUUCUUCAACCGUAAAGAUAAGGUAUGGGAGCUGAGGUUAUCCUGUCACUACUCUCAGAAAGAUAGAAAGCUACAACUCCAGAAUUUGUCCAUUCGCGGCCUCUGGCCAGCUUACAUUAUCAAUGGCAAGGUAAAGCAUGAGCUUAAUAAUGAUAAAGAAAUCUCAGUAAACAUGCCAAUUGCUAAACAGCUACUUGAAGAGCUUGGCAUAGAUUUUCCAAACAUCAAAAACAAAAUGGGCAAAAUUUGGACCAGUACAUUCCAUACUCUAAAACCAGAAAAUCUUUGGGCGAUGGAAAUGAGUGCGAGAGGAACACUAGACUACUGGUACUGGAUCAAGGCAGUACAAGUAGCAGCACCGUUUUUUUAUGAUGAUGGACAAUGCAUGUUCAUGGAUUGGAUGAAAGAGUGGAACUACAAUCGUGGCAAAUUCAGUUGCCUUGACUUCGAAGAUCAUAUGAGUUUGCAGCUGGGUAAAAGAGUACGUGUAAUAUACAAGAUAAUGAUUGAUAAGAAGGUAUACAUGUAUCAAAUAGGUAUAUUGUUUGAUAACUCUUUUAACAUGGUGAACUACCCCCCUCACAAACUUGGAUUUGAAGAGUUUGUACUGGAAAGGCAUGAGCAAUCUGAUACUGAAGACGAAUCUGAUACUGAACAACUAUCUGAUUAUGAUGAGAAAUCAGAUUUUGAAGAGAAAUCAGAUUUUGAAGAGCACUAUGAAGAGCAAUCUAAAAAUGAAGAGCAAUCUCACAACGAAGAGAAAUUUAACUAUGAUGAGCAAUUUGAAACAGAUUCGGACUUCGGAGAACUGGGAACGGUGCAACAGGAGGCUAAUGGUCAAGAUCUAUUUGGCAGACUCUGCAAGCUUUUCAAGUUCUCGAAGCAUUGGUCUCUCUCUCUCUCUCUCUCUCUCUCUCUCUCUCUCUCAUAUAUACAAAAAUUAACCAAGCUCACUUUUGAUCUAACCGAGUACUAAAAUUAAUAUAAGGCUUCCACGAUAGGCUUUAUGAACAAAAAGACACUUAUCCUCACAGAUUGAAUACUUGGCUAAGACAUCAACACCAAUGUCUAUUUGUAACUAAUUAAGAUUAUGUUAGCAAUUACCAGUAUCUACGAUAUGUGUAUCAUCGGUGUAUAAAACCCACAAAAUUUAAAAAGCCUUAAAAUAUUGAGCUCCAAACUUCAUUGAAUUAUUCUAAACAUUAACAUAAAUAAAAUUAACUAAUACCUUAAAAUUAACUUCUUUGAGAAACGUACUAUCAAUAAUGAGCAUGCUUGGGACCACUUGAAUGUCAGCAUCUCUCCACCAUUCAGCAUCUUGCGGCUAAAGACAAGAAACAUUAAAGUAACUAGUAAGAGUAACAUCAGCAAAUCAGCUAUUUAUGUCAGUUAUAUGUAAUAGAAGGUAAGAUAUCAAUACCAAUGUUUAGUUAUGACUAAUUAAAGUUUAUACUUGCAAUUAGCUAUAUCUAUAAUAUGAUUUUGUCAGUAUAUAAAACCCGCAGUCCAUACUUCUUUUAUACCACAAAUAAUGGUAUGACAAGGGACAACUUAAAUUCUUUUAUCAUUCCACGAUUCUAUCUUAAUUUCCUUUUGGAUUCUUGAUUUAACAGAGAGACGAAGCAUAAUGUCCCUUGACAGACAUCAGUGCAAAGGUAGACCAGAAUGGAGCAACAAAAGAGGAUGGCUGAUACUAUGUGUGAUAUGAGAAAUUUGUGUUCUUUCUUUGGAAUGAAACUAGAACUAUGUGUGAUGCAUUACUAUCAAAUGCUUCAAAAGUUGCCACUUUUACUCUAUUCUAUACGCUUUCAACUUACUGUCCAUGUAUAAAGAUAUCAAGUAUGUUGAUGCUUCAAAAGUUGCCAUAUUUACUCUAUUCUAUACGCUUCCAACUUACUGUCCAUGUAUUAAAUAUCAAGUAUGUUGAAAUCUCUCUCUCUCUCUCUCUCUCUCUCUCUCUCUCUCUCUCUCCCUCCCUCCCUCCCUCCCUCCCGCCCUCUCUCUCUCUCCCUCUCUCU
Molecule: RNA transcript, 2482 nt
Organism: Daucus carota subsp. sativus
Lineage: Eukaryota; Viridiplantae; Streptophyta; Magnoliopsida; Apiales; Apiaceae
Exons: 7
Source: RefSeq, a predicted model, not a curated record